CUAUACAUGCAAGUCGAGCGAACAGACGAGGAGCUUGCUCCUUUGACGUUAGCGGCGGACGGGUGAGUAACACGUGGGUAACCUACCUAUAAGACUGGGAUAACUUCGGGAAACCGGAGCUAAUACCGGAUAAUAUUUCGAACCGCAUGGUUCGAUAGUGAAAGAUGGCUCUGCUAUCACUUAUAGAUGGACCUGCGCCGUAUUAGCUAGUUGGUAAGGUAACGGCUUACCAAGGCAACGAUACGUAGCCGACCUGAGAGGGUGAUCGGCCACACUGGAACUGAGACACGGUCCAGACUCCUACGGGAGGCAGCAGUAGGGAAUCUUCCGCAAUGGGCGAAAGCCUGACGGAGCAACGCCGCGUGAGUGAUGAAGGUCUUCGGAUCGUAAAACUCUGUUAUUAGGGAAGAACAAACGUGUAAGUAACUGUGCACGUCUUGACGGUACCUAAUCAGAAAGCCACGGCUAACUACGUGCCAGCAGCGGCCGGUAAUAAA
RNAcentral lists this ribosomal RNA (497 nucleotides) under Staphylococcus hominis. Its description in RNAcentral is "bacterial SSU rRNA". It matches the Rfam family "Bacterial small subunit ribosomal RNA", at positions 49 to 527 of the family's 1533-position model. The record is from RNAcentral. Lineage: Bacteria; Bacillati; Bacillota; Bacilli; Caryophanales; Staphylococcaceae.